Molecule: long non-coding RNA, 310 nt
Organism: Asparagus officinalis (garden asparagus)
Lineage: Eukaryota; Viridiplantae; Streptophyta; Magnoliopsida; Asparagales; Asparagaceae
Exons: 3
Source: RefSeq, a predicted model, not a curated record
UCCUGCUUCAGACCUCCGCCCGCCCAGGCUACGAAAUCAUCACUGCGCUCUUUCAAUAUCCCCCAACAAUCCCUCUCGCCGUCCACGCGCUUCAGACCUCCGCCCGCCCAGGAAAUCAUCACCGCCUCUGCUUCAGACCUCCGCCCGCCCAGGCUACGAAAUCAUCACUGCGCUCUUUCAAUAUCCCCCAACAAUCCCUCUCGCCGUCCACGCGCUUCAGACCUCCGCCCGCCCAGGUUAGGAAAUCAGCCCUUCGCCCGUCCACGCGCUUCAAUAACCUUGACGAAGCUGACUGCUUCACUCAUGGCGG